GAAGGAGAAAUUGAACUGCAUUCAUGUGGCCGUAUGUUAGGGGAUUAACCCUUUGAACGGCGGUAAUAAGACACACAGAAACAUGGUCUCUCUCAAG
This is a non-coding RNA of Sturnus vulgaris (Common starling), 97 nucleotides long. The record is from RefSeq and is a predicted model, not a curated record. Lineage: Eukaryota; Metazoa; Chordata; Aves; Passeriformes; Sturnidae.